UGCGUGGUUAGCCUUCCAUGCUCUUAAUGCUUAACAUUUCACAGCAAUUCUCACAUUCAGAAGCAAACACUUGAAUUCGUUCAUUUCCUUCCUUUCCCUUUUAACACACAAACACAAACUACUUUGUUCAUCAUAUCACAUACCCUUUUCAUUCUUCUUUCUACAAUAAGUGUAGUUUUGUUUUCAUCUUUUUCUGCAUUAUCUACCAAGGCACAAGAAUUAAUCAGCAAAGAUGGUGAUGAUGGGUCUGGGAAGGUUGGUAGGGUCUCUAAAAUCCAAAAUAAGGUCUUUGAAACUGAAGAAACCUUAUGAUAAGAUGGAGAAGAGUGAGAGCAUGAGAGUGGAGAUAAGAAGCAGAAAGGCCAGAAAACUCAUUGAAGAGACCCUAAAAAUUGCUGAUUCUCCUAAGUCCAGAACCUUCGCUUUAUGAUGUAUUAUUGUUCGCUGUAUCUAUUGGUAAAAACUCUUCAAUAAUUAAGCUUCUGCUGUUCAUCUUUAAAUUUCAAUGAUUU
RNAcentral lists this small RNA (512 nucleotides) under Vigna angularis var. angularis. RNAcentral's name for it is "Non-protein coding transcript". Lineage: Eukaryota; Viridiplantae; Streptophyta; Magnoliopsida; Fabales; Fabaceae. The record is from RNAcentral.